This 301-nucleotide ribosomal RNA is filed under the name uncultured bacterium. Its description in RNAcentral is "partial 16S ribosomal RNA". It matches the Rfam family "Bacterial small subunit ribosomal RNA", at positions 509 to 807 of the family's 1533-position model. The record is from RNAcentral.
CAGUCGCCGCGGGAAUACGGAGGGUGCAAGCGUUAAUCGGAAUUACUGGGCGUAAAGCGCACGCAGGCGGUUUGUUAAGUCAGAUGUGAAAUCCCCGGGCUCAACCUGGGAACUGCAUUUGAAACUGGCAAGCUAGAGUCUCGUAGAGGGGGGUAGAAUUCCAGGUGUAGCGGUGAAAUGCGUAGAGAUCUGGAGGAAUACCGGUGGCGAAGGCGGCCCCCUGGACGAAGACUGACGCUCAGGUGCGAAAGCGUGGGGAGCAAACAGGAUUAGAUACCCCAGUAGUCCCUGUCUCUUAUAC